CCUACGGGUGGCAGCAGUGAGGAAUCUUGGGCAAUGGGCGGAAGCCUGAACCAGCCAAGUCGCGUGAGGGACUAAGGCCCUACGGGUCGUAAACCUCUUUUGCCGGGGAUCAGUGCCCAGCUCGCGAGCUGGGAGGGAGCGUACCCGGAGAAAAAGCAUCGGCUAACUCCGGGCCGGCAGCCGCGGUGGUACGGGGGAGGCGAGCGUUGUCCGGAUUUAUUGGGGUAAAGGGGUGCGUAGGCGGGCCUUCAGUCCGGCGGGAAAAUUGCGGGGGUCAACCCCGCCGAGCCGUCGGAACCGGGGGCCUUGAGUACCGGAGAAGUACGCGGAAUGCGUGGUGUAGCGGUGAAAUGCAUAGAUAUCACGCAGAACCCCGAUGGCGAAGGCAGCGUACCGGCCGGUCACUGACGCUGAGGCACGAAAGCGCGGGUAUCGAACAGGAUUAGAUACCCUAGUAGUC
RNAcentral lists this ribosomal RNA (460 nucleotides) under uncultured bacterium. Its description in RNAcentral is "partial 16S ribosomal RNA". It matches the Rfam family "Bacterial small subunit ribosomal RNA", at positions 338 to 795 of the family's 1533-position model. The record is from RNAcentral.